Molecule: long non-coding RNA, 431 nt
Filed under: Homo sapiens (human)
Lineage: Eukaryota; Metazoa; Chordata; Mammalia; Primates; Hominidae
Description: non-protein coding lnc-SUMF2-5:8
Source: RNAcentral
GUUGCAAUCCCAACUGGAAAAAGGUGUAAGAGUCAACAACUCCUGAGACUUAGGUUCAAGUGCAUGAGUCACAAUCUCAACAGUGGAUUGCAUCCUGCCAUGAGAGCCCCAAUCCCUUCUCCAAGCUGUGUUCCAGUAGAGGAGUCGCAACAUCAAUGGUGUGCUGAAUCCUGGUUGGAGAGUUCCCACUUCACCUGUGGACUGGAUCUGUAUAUAAGAGGAGAGAUGUCGACUCUCAUGCCUGGGCUUAGGGCAAUGGGCAUGAUCCUACAUUUGGGAUUGUAGCAACAACUCUUGACUGCCCUUGGGUGUGAGAUUCAGAACCUCAAUUGUGACCUGUGUACACUUGGGCAUGUGACAAUUUCUACUUUUGGCUGUGUGUUCAUACAAGACUCUCAAUCUCACCUGUGUUCUGGGCCCUGUUAUUAGAC